UUUGCUUCUACUUUUCCAAGAUUUUUUUGGGUGGUGAGAGUCCUAAGUUCUCCAUAACUUCUGCGACAUCUAGUUUUUGUCUUCCCCUAUUUAUACUUCGACGCUUAUUAUUAACGAUACCUUUUUAUUUUUACUGAAAUUUUGAAAGCUAUAGACUUUUCAUCUUCUUUGUCUUCUUCUCUGUGUUCUAACGACGAGACAUGCAACCAUAGAGAUUUAGGAGGGAGAGCUCUUUGGCCCUCACGUACGAUCAAAGAUGACGUACGAUGCUCUAGUUACCUUUCGCCGAUCUUUCAACGUACUUGACAAAAUACGACCGUUAGUUCCAGCUGGUGUUGAGUGUCCAAAAUGGGUGAAACUUUUUUCUGCACAUACACGGUUUUCUUUGAAAAUGAGGUUGGAGUUUACUGAUUGUUCUCGAUGUGAUUAAUCUGUUUAGACGAAGUGGAAUCCUGGGUUCAAGGAUACUUUUUACUUCUCCACAUGCGCUAACUGUAAAAUUCUCACCGAGCUUUCGAGAAAAGAUGAAUAGAGAGAGAGGAGUAUUUCUUUUUUGAAGUAAACGAAGCUUCAAUAGGCAAUUUUGAUCACACGCGGAUGUUUUCUAUUUGGAUACUGGUUGAUGAUAAUCCCAGAUCUGAGCCUUUAUCCGAUCACGUCCGUUCUUUGGUUUGUCGGUUGUGUGGCGGGACUGUCGAUUGGCCUUCUUUUAGUAGACCGAGGUUGCUCGAUGCGCUUGGCGUCCUCCUUAACGUCUACCAAGAGCUCAUUCCUCGCUUAGGACCACUGCCUAUCAGUUGGCUCGGCCUCAAGCGGCUGGGAUGUGCAGAUCAUUAAUUUUUGAUGUGUCGAGCUUAUCAACCCAAUCUCAACCGCCAGUCAUUUUUCAUGAUACUCUGGGACGUUCUAUUUGGGAGCCUAUUCAGGUCAUGAAUAGGCAAGGGAAGCCUUGCUUCUGUAAUGGAGGGGGUGCUGAGACGUCUGACCUGCGUGCUGGCGUCGUUAUGGAUCCGUCCGUCAGAGGUUGGUUGUGUAGCAGAUCCGGACCGUGGAUAGCAUGAGAAAGAGGGCCCGCAGAGAAGGUUCUUCACACUCAUUGGUUAGAGGCGGCGAAUAUGUCAUUCCCUGUUGGCCUUUAGAGCAUAAAAAGAUGUUACUAAUGCAGAGGACCCAUAUGGCGCGGCAUCUCUGAUUUACUUGUUGGGAGGGAAGGAGUACCAAUUGUCAGUUCCUAGUACUCUUCGAGAGAGGGAACCCUACAACAACCCUACUGUUGCUCUCGUGAAAGGAUUAUUUCUUUCAUAAUAUUGCUUUAAUUAUUUUAUGAUGAUUUUGACUUGUUUGACGCAUUUGUCUGUCUGUAGAAGCUUUGGACCAUCUGGUUUUCCAUUAUGAGGCAAGGGUCGAUGAGGGAGGUCCAGCGAAUGCAGAUCAUUCGAGUUUGGAAAGGCUUCCCGCUGAUCUUCAGGCAGCUAAGGACCGUGAGGAUUACCUUGUUAUAGAUCUUUCUGACCACAAAGCUCGCAUUGUGCACAUAUAAGAUCUAGCGCACAAAUUCCAGGUCUCCACUGAUCUAUACGCUGCUCUUGAGGCUGAGUGGGAUGCGGUCUUGGCUAGGGUGAAAUGUCUUGAAGAAUAUAUUUCGAGGUUUGUGACGCCUCAUGAAGUUUGGAUGAGGCUCUCAAUUCAGACUGAUUUAUGGAGAGUCUCAGCUCAGUAUACUGUUUACGUUUUGAGACAUGUGGGUGGCCAAGGGUAAGGAGGCGACUGCUGAAAUCGAACUCCAGGAUGUGGCGGCAAACAUCAGUCUCUUAGAUUUGCUCCAGGGGGGAGGUCGAGAUCGAGACAGAGAUGGUUGUGUUAAGCGACAUAGAGAAAGAAUGUGAUAGUGCUUGGAGGGGCAUCCAAGUUUCGAAUGUGUCUCUAGGAAAGCUUGCUCCACCGUCGGUUUUGUAGGAUUCUGUGAUGAUGGAAGCGGCCCCGGUGGGUGAUCAGAUUGUUAACUCCGAUGGUGGAGUUAGGGAGGUUUGAGAGUGUUCAUUCCUCCUUUUUUUUAUUGUUUAUGUUGCCUAAUAAUGGCUUUUUAUAAACAAUACCUUAAAAAUUUAUGAAGAAUGCAUAAGAUCUGUUUUUUUUUUUAU
This is a long non-coding RNA of Brassica oleracea var. oleracea, 2141 nucleotides long. RefSeq lists it as uncharacterized. The record is from RefSeq and is a predicted model, not a curated record. The transcript is spliced from 3 exons. Lineage: Eukaryota; Viridiplantae; Streptophyta; Magnoliopsida; Brassicales; Brassicaceae.